RNAcentral lists this non-coding RNA (225 nucleotides) under Fervidicella metallireducens. RNAcentral describes it as "T-box sequence". It matches the Rfam family "T-box leader". Rfam says of the family: Uncharged tRNA acts as the effector for transcription antitermination of genes in the T-box leader family. T-boxes are found upstream of many aminoacyl-tRNA synthetase genes and some amino acid biosynthetic genes usually in Gram-positive bacteria. The record is from RNAcentral. Lineage: Bacteria; Bacillati; Bacillota; Clostridia; Eubacteriales; Clostridiaceae.
AGUAAGGCGUUGAAGGGAAGGAGUAGGAAAUUGACUUAUUCAAGAGAGAGGUUGUCGUUGGCUGAGAGCAACCUUAAUAAGAGUUUUCGAAGAGUGCGUCCUGGAGCUUUCUUAUCGAAAUACAAGUAGAUGAGAACGGGUAAAAUCCGUUAAAAUAUAUGAGAAAAACAUAGGUCUUCUAUGUUUAAUUAGAGUGGAACCACGAACUGACCCUUCGUCUCUAAA